GGGUUGUGAGGUUAAGCGACUAAGCGUACACGGUGGAUGCCCUGGCAGUCAGAGGCGAUGAAGGGCGUGCUAAUCUGCGAUAAGCGCCGGUAAGGUGAUAUGAACCGUUAUAACCGGCGAUACCCGAAUGGGGAAACCCAGUGUGACUCGUCACACUAUCAUUAACUGAAUCCAUAGGUUAAUGAGGCGAACCGGGGGAACUGAAACAUCUAAGUACCCCGAGGAAAAGAAAUCAACCGAGAUUCCCCCAGUAGCGGCGAGCGAACGGGGAGGAGCCCAGAGCCUGAAUCAGCAUGUGUGUUAGUGGAAGCGUCUGGAAAGGCGCGCGAUACAGGGUGACAGCCCCGUACACAAAAGCGCAUGUGCUGUGAGCUCGAUGAGUAGGGCGGGACACGUGGUAUCCUGUCUGAAUAUGGGGGGACCAUCCUCCAAGGCUAAAUACUCCUGACUGACCGAUAGUGAACCAGUACCGUGAGGGAAAGGCGAAAAGAACCCCGGCGAGGGGAGUGAAAAAGAACCUGAAACCGUGUACGUACAAGCAGUGGGAGCCCCACCACCAAAGCAUUUGCUGUACCGCGUUGACGGAGCGAAGCGACGUCAAACCGAUAAAACAGCAGUGUAAAGUGAGCCGCAGGGCGCUUUGCGCGACAGCGCAAAGGCAGGCGGUUUCGCGUAGCGAAAGCGAAUGCUUUGGGGUGGGGUGACUGCGUACCUUUUGUAUAAUGGGUCAGCGACUUAUAUUCUGUAGCAAGGUUAACCGAAUAGGGGAGCCGGAGGGAAACCGAGUCUUAAUUGGGCGUUAAGUUGCAGGGUAUAGACCCGAAACCCGGUGAUCUAGCCAUGGGCAGGUUGAAGGUUGGGUAACACUAACUGGAGGACCGAACCGACUAAUGUUGAAAAAUUAGCGGAUGACCUGUGGCUGGGGGUGAAAGGCCAAUCAAACCGGGAGAUAGCUGGUUCUCCCCGAAAGCUAUUUAGGUAGCGCCUCGUGAAUUCAUCUCCGGGGGUAGAGCACUGUUUCGGCUAGGGGGCCAUCCCGGCUUACCAACCCGAUGCAAACUGCGAAUACCGGAGAAUGUUAUCACGGGAGACACACGGCGGGUGCUAACGUCCGUCGUGAAGAGGGAAACAACCCAGACCGCCAGCUAAGGUCCCAAAGUCAUGGUUAAGUGGGAAACGAUGUGGGAAGGCCCAGACAGCCAGGAUGUUGGCUUAGAAGCAGCCAUCAUUUAAAGAAAGCGUAAUAGCUCACUGGUCGAGUCGGCCUGCGCGGAAGAUGUAACGGGGCUAAACCAUGCACCGAAGCUGCGGCAGCGACACUGUGUGUUGUUGGGUAGGGGAGCGUUCUGUAAGCCUGUGAAGGUGUGUCGUGAGGCAUGCUGGAGGUAUCAGAAGUGCGAAUGCUGACAUAAGUAACGAUAAAGCGGGUGAAAAGCCCGCUCGCCGGAAGACCAAGGGUUCCUGUCCAACGUUAAUCGGGGCAGGGUGAGUCGACCCCUAAGGCGAGGCCGAAAGGCGUAGUCGAUGGGAAACGGGUUAAUAUUCCCGUACUUGGUGUUACUGCGAAGGGGGGACGGAGAAGGCUAUGUUGGCCGGGCGACGGUUGUCCCGGUUUAAGCGUGUAGGUGUGUGUUCCAGGUAAAUCCGGUUCACUUUAACACUGAGGCGUGACGACGAGGCACUACGGUGCUGAAGCAACAAAUGCCCUGCUUCCAGGAAAAGCCUCUAAGCAUCAGGUAACAUCAAAUCGUACCCCAAACCGACACAGGUGGUCAGGUAGAGAAUACCAAGGCGCUUGAGAGAACUCGGGUGAAGGAACUAGGCAAAAUGGUGCCGUAACUUCGGGAGAAGGCACGCUGACACGUAGGUGAAGUGAUUUACUCAUGGAGCUGAAGUCAGUCGAAGAUACCAGCUGGCUGCAACUGUUUAUUAAAAACACAGCACUGUGCAAACACGAAAGUGGACGUAUACGGUGUGACGCCUGCCCGGUGCCGGAAGGUUAAUUGAUGGGGUCAGCGCAAGCGAAGCUCCUGAUCGAAGCCCCGGUAAACGGCGGCCGUAACUAUAACGGUCCUAAGGUAGCGAAAUUCCUUGUCGGGUAAGUUCCGACCUGCACGAAUGGCGUAAUGAUGGCCAGGCUGUCUCCACCCGAGACUCAGUGAAAUUGAACUCGCUGUGAAGAUGCAGUGUACCCGCGGCAAGACGGAAAGACCCCGUGAACCUUUACUAUAGCUUGACACUGAACAUUGAGCCUUGAUGUGUAGGAUAGGUGGGAGGCUUUGAAGUGUGGACGCCAGUCUGCAUGGAGCCGACCUUGAAAUACCACCCUUUAAUGUUUGAUGUUCUAACGUGGACCCGUUACCCGGGUUGCGGACAGUGUCUGGUGGGUAGUUUGACUGGGGCGGUCUCCUCC
This 2413-nucleotide ribosomal RNA is filed under the name Salmonella enterica. RNAcentral's name for it is "partial 23S ribosomal RNA". It matches the Rfam family "Bacterial large subunit ribosomal RNA", at positions 1 to 2290 of the family's 2925-position model. Lineage: Bacteria; Pseudomonadati; Pseudomonadota; Gammaproteobacteria; Enterobacterales; Enterobacteriaceae. The record is from RNAcentral. RNAcentral also lists the same sequence under 1 other name.